RNAcentral lists this ribosomal RNA (632 nucleotides) under uncultured Bacteroidales bacterium. Its description in RNAcentral is "bacterial SSU rRNA". It matches the Rfam family "Bacterial small subunit ribosomal RNA", at positions 85 to 715 of the family's 1533-position model. The record is from RNAcentral. Lineage: Bacteria; Pseudomonadati; Bacteroidota; Bacteroidia; Bacteroidales.
UUGGUGGCGACCGGCGCACGGGUGAGUAACGCGUAUGCAACCCCCCUAUCAGAGGGGAAUAACCCGGCGAAAGUCGGACUAAUACUGCAUAAAACAGGGACACCGCAUGGUGAUAUUUGUUAAAGAAAUUCGCUGAUAGAUGGGCACGCGUUCCAUUAGGUAGUUGGUGAGGUAACGGCUCACCAAGCCGACGAUGGAUAGGGGAACUGAGAGGUUGGUCCCCCACACUGGUACUGAGACACGGACCAGACUCCUACGGGAGGCAGCAGUGAGGAAUAUUGGUCAAUGGGCGAGAGCCUGAACCAGCCAAGUCGCGUGAAGGAAGAAGGAUCUAUGGUUCGUAAACUUCUUUUGCAGGGGAAUAAAGUGCAGGACGUGUCCUGUUUUGUAUGUACCCUGAGAAUAAGGAUCGGCUAACUCCGUGCCAGCAGCCGCGGUAAUACGGAGGAUCCGAGCGUUAUCCGGAUUUAUUGGGUUUAAAGGGUGCGUAGGUGGUUUGAUAAGUCAGCGGUGAAAGUUUGCAGCUUAACUGUAAAAAUGCCGUUGAAACUGUCGGACUUGAGUGUAAAUGAGGUAGGCGGAAUGCGUGGUGUAGCGGUGAAAUGCUUAGAUAUCACGAAGAACUCCGAUUG